GACGGAGGAUGCAAGUGUUAUCCGGAAUCACUGGGCGUAAAGCGUCUGUAGGUGGUUUAAUAAGUCGGAUGUUAAAUCUUGAAGCUUAACUUCAAAACCGCAUUCGAAACUGUUAAACUUGAGUAUAGUAGAGGUAAAGGGAAUUUCCAGUGGAGCGGUGAAAUGCGUAGAUAUUGGAAAGAACACCGAUGGCGAAGGCACUUUACUGGGCUAGUACUGACACUCAGAGACGAAAGCUAGGGUAGCAAAUGGG
Molecule: ribosomal RNA, 253 nt
Filed under: uncultured bacterium
Lineage: Bacteria
Description: partial 16S ribosomal RNA
Rfam family: Bacterial small subunit ribosomal RNA
Source: RNAcentral